UUGCCCUAAGCUUGUUUUGCUCUCUAAUUUUCCCUUGUCGUUUUCUCCUCCCUUUUCCUUCUCCCUCUUUUCUUUUCUUAGCCUUCUUCCUCUUGUUUCUACACUGCCACCUCAUCCACUAUCCUUGUUGCCGUCGCACCUUGCACUCAUUGAGCUGUCGAUUUCUUUCCCUUAUCGAAUCACUCUCUAUUCGUUCAGAUUUCGUUAGUGAAUAGAACUGUCAACAAUGGCUUCCCAUAUCCAAUUUCGAUAUGUUGGAUCGAAUCUUGACGUGAACGAAUUAGAUCUGAGUUGAAGAGGUACCGUACGACGUAAGAAGUAAAGUGUGUAGGGUUGGACAAGUUCUAGGGAACUCUUACUGUGGAGUGUAGCAGAUCGUCGGGUAGGAAAACUACACUGUUAUACAUGCAUCCUAUGUUUUUACUAAGUUCACUAUGGGAUUGAUAAUCUGAUAUGUGCUAUAUAUUGCAUACACGUAUGUUGUUAUUUAGUGUUUUAUAUAUUUACUGCUUAUGUUAAAACCA
This is a long non-coding RNA of Gossypium raimondii (Peruvian cotton), 524 nucleotides long. RefSeq lists it as uncharacterized. The transcript has 3 exons. Lineage: Eukaryota; Viridiplantae; Streptophyta; Magnoliopsida; Malvales; Malvaceae. The record is from RefSeq and is a predicted model, not a curated record.